CUUCUUGGAAAUGACAACUGCUAAGCCAUAAUUAUAUGUACCUUUCUCGUGAAACGAGAAGCCUUAUUCAAGCCAAAAUAAAAAGAAUAAAGAAUAAUUAAUAAGAUGAAAGAGUGCAACAUCCUUUCAAAUAGUGCAACAAGCUCUUCAAAAUAGUACAAUAUCUGUAUAAAUAAUGCAACAUAUGCAUUGUUAAUAAAUAUUUUGUAUGAUUUUUACACUAAAUUACGCACGGUUUAGUAUAUUACGCGAAAAUAAUAUAUUAUAUUACAACAUACUAUAAAAAUUAUACAAUAUAUGUACAAACGGUGCAUAUUUUACACUAUUUAUAUAGAUAUUUACACAAUUUGUAUAAAUAUUGCACUAUUAUGAGAGAAUGUUGCACUAUUUAGAUGUGUGUUGCACUUUUUCUUUUUGAAAAUUAAAUUUCAUUGCAUAUUGAAUAAAGUAUAAAACUUCUUGGAAAUGACAACUGCUAAGUCAUAAUUAUAUGCAUGUACCUUUCUCGUGAAACGAGAAAUCUCAUUCAAGAGAAAAUAAAAAAAAUAAAGAUUAAUUAAUAAGAUGAAAGAGUGUAAUAUCCUCUCAAAUAGUGCAACAAUCUCUUCAAAAUAGUGCAAUAUCUGUAUAAUUAGUGCAACAUAUGCAUUGUUAAUACACAUUUUACAUGAUUUUUACACUAAGUUACGUACAGUUUAGUAUAUUACGCGAAAAUAAUAUAAUAUAUUAUAAUAUAUUAUAAAAAUUAUACAAUAUAUGUACAAACAGUGCAUAUUUUACACUAUUUAUAUAGAUAUUUACACCAUUUCUGUAAAUAUUGCACUAUUAUGAGAGAAUGUUGCACCAUUUAGAUCUGUGUUGCACUCUUUCUUUUUGAAAAUUAAAUUUUAUUGCAUAUUAAAUAAAGUGUAAAACUCUUUGAAAAUGACAAAUGCUAAGCCAUAAUUACAUGCAUGUACCUUUAUCGUGAAACGAGAAACCUCAUUCAAGAGAAAAAAUAAAAAAAUAAAGAUUAAUUAAUAAGAUGAAAGAGUGCAAUAUCCUCUCAAAUAGUGCAACAAUCUCUUCAAAAUAGUGCAAUAUCUGUAUAAUUAGUGCAACAUAUGCAUUGUUAAUACACAUUUUACAUGAUUUUUACACUAAGUUACGUACAGUUUAGUAUAUUACGCGAAAAUAAUAUAAUAUAUUAUAAUAUAUUAUAAAAAUUAUACAAUAUAUGUACAAAUGGUGCAUAUUUUACACUAUUUAUAUAUAUAUUUAAACCAUUUGUGUAAAUGUUGCAGUAUUAUAAGAGAAUAUUGCACCAUUUAUAUGUGUGUUGCACUCUUUCUUUUUGAAAAUUAAAUUUCAUUACAUAUUAAAUAAAGUGUCAAACUUCUUGGAAAAUGACAACUGCUAAACCAUAAUUACAUGCAUGUACAUUUCUCGUGAAACGAGAAGCCUCAUUCAAAAGAAAAUAAAAAAAUAAAGAAUAAUUAGUAAGAUGAAAGAGUGCAACAUCCUCUCAAAUAGUACAACAAGCUCUUCAAAAUAGUGCAAUAUCUGUAUAAGUNGCAUAUUUUACACUAUUUAUACAUAUAUUUACACCAUUUGUGUAAAUGUUGCACUAUUAUGAAAGGAUGUUGCACCAUUUAGAUGUGUGUUGCACUCCUUCUUUUUGAAAAUUAAAUUUCAUUGCAUAUUAAAUGAAGUGUAAAACUUCUUGGAAAUGACAACUGCUAAGCCAUAAUUACAUGCACGUACCUUUCUCGUGAAACGAGAAGCCUUAUUCAAGAGAAAAUAAAAAGGAUAAAGAAUAAUUAAUAAGAUGAAAGAGUGCAAUAUCCUCUCAAAUAGUGCAACAAGCUCUUCAAAAUAGUGCAAUAUUUGUAUAAGUAGUGCACCAUACGCAUUGUUAAUACACAUUUUACAUAAUUUUUACACUAAAUUACAUACAGUUUAAUAUAUUACGCGAAAAUAAUAUGCAAUAUAUAAUAUAAUAAACUGUAUGUAAUUAAUUUAGUGUAAAAAUCAUACAAAAUGUGUAUUAACAAUGCAUAUGUUGCACUAUUUAUACAGAUAUUGCACUAUUUUGAAGAGCUUGUUAUACUAUUUGAGAGGAUGUUGCACUCUUUCAUCUUAUUAAUUAUUCUUUAUUCUUUUUAUUUUCUCUUGAAUGAGGCUUCUCGUUUCACGAGAAAGGUACAUGCAUGUAAUUAUGGCUUAGCAGUUGUCAUUUCCAAGAAGUUUUACACUUCAUUUAAUAUGCAAUGAAAUUUAAUUUUCAAAAAGAAAGAGUGCAACACACAUCUAAAUGGUGCAACAUCCUUUCAUAAUAGUGCAACAUUUACACGAAUGGUGUAAAUAUAUGUAUAAAUAGUAUAAAAUAUGCACCGUUUGUACAUAUAUUGUAUAGUUUUUUUAAUAUAUUGUAAUAUAUUAUAUUAUUUUUGCGUAAUAUACUAAACUGUACAUAACUUAGUGUAAAAAUCAUGCAAAAUGUGUAUUAACAAUGCAUAUGUUGCACUAAUUAUAAAGAUAUUGCAUUAUUUUGAAGAGAUUGUUGCACUAUUUGAGAGGAUAUUGCACUCUUUAUCUUAUUAAUUAAUCUUUAUUUUUUUUAUUUUCUUUUGAAUGAGGUUUCUCGUUUCACGAGAAAGGUACAUGCAUGUAAUUAUGGCUUAGCAGUUGUUAUUUUCCAGAAGUUUGACACUUUAUUUUAUAUGUAAUGAAAUUUAAUUUUUAAAAAGAAAGAGUGCAACACACAUCUAAAUGGUGCAACAUUCUCUCAUAAUAGUGCAACAUUUACAGAAAUGGUGCAAAUAUAUGUAUAAAUAGUGUAAAAUAUGCACCGUUUGUAUAUAUAUUAUAUAAUUUUUAUAAUAUAUUGUAAUAUAUUAUAUUAUUUUCGUGUAAGAUACUAAACUGUACGCAACUUAGUGUAAAAAUCAUGCAAAAUGUGUAUUAAGAAUGCAUAUGUUGCACUACUUAUACAAAUAUUGCACUAUUUUGAAGAGAUUGUUGCACUAUUUGAGAGGAUAUUGCACUCUUUCAUCUUAUUAAUUAAUCUUUAUUUUUUUAUUUUUUCUUGAAUGAGGUUUCUUGUUUUACAAGAAAGGUACAUGCAUAUAAUUAUGGCUUAACAGUUGUCAUUUCCAACAAGUUUUAUACAUAAUGGCUUAGCAGUUCUAUUUUUCUAGACAUUUAAAAUAUAUAAUUUUUAUGAAUUUUGAAAGAGGGGUAGUUUAGUCAUCCUUCUGAAAAUUCGGCCCGAAUCUGCAAAAACUAAAAAGGUGGCCCACUUUUGCAAAAGCGCAAAAUUAGUGAAUUUUUUAUGCAAAUUGGCCUAAAAACAUCUAUAAAUUUCCUAACUUUCAAAUUGACAAACUAAAAAGAACUAAAUUAAAAUUAAAAAGCGUCGUCUAAAAUAUAUUUUAUUAUAGUGAUCAAAUCCUAAUAAUUGCAAUAUUAAUUACGCAGUGAAAAUGAUAUGUAAAAUCUAUAUGAUUUUUUAGCAUGAUUUGAUUAUUGGUUU
RNAcentral lists this long non-coding RNA (3514 nucleotides) under Ananas comosus (pineapple). Its description in RNAcentral is "long non-coding RNA (ACOM_LNC009072)". The record is from RNAcentral. Lineage: Eukaryota; Viridiplantae; Streptophyta; Magnoliopsida; Poales; Bromeliaceae.